GAUGAACGCUGGCGGCGUGCCUAAUACAUGCAAGUCGAGCGAACAGACGAGGAGCUUGCUCCUCUGACGUUAGCGGCGGACGGGUGAGUAACACGUGGAUAACCUACCUAUAAGACUGGGAUAACUUCGGGAAACCGGAGCUAAUACCGGAUAAUAUAUUGAACCGCAUGGUUCAAUAGUGAAAGACGGUUUUGCUGUCACUUAUAGAUGGAUCCGCGCCGCAUUAGCUAGUUGGUAAGGUAACGGCUUACCAAGGCAACGAUGCGUAGCCGACCUGAGAGGGUGUUGGCCCACACUGAAACUGAGACACGGUCCAGACUCCUACGGGAGGCAGCAGUAGGGAAUCUUCCGCAAUGGCGAAAGCCUGACGGAGCAACGCCGCGUGAGUGAUGAAGGUCUUCGGAUCGUAAAACUCUGUUAUUAGGGAAGAACAAAUGUGUAAGUAACUAUGCACGUCUUGACGGUACCUAAUCAGAAAGCCACGGCUAACUACGUG
This 496-nucleotide ribosomal RNA is filed under the name uncultured bacterium. Its description in RNAcentral is "partial 16S ribosomal RNA". It matches the Rfam family "Bacterial small subunit ribosomal RNA", at positions 28 to 507 of the family's 1533-position model. The record is from RNAcentral.